RNAcentral lists this ribosomal RNA (404 nucleotides) under Actinomycetes bacterium. Its description in RNAcentral is "Actinobacteria bacterium partial 16S ribosomal RNA". It matches the Rfam family "Bacterial small subunit ribosomal RNA", at positions 355 to 776 of the family's 1533-position model. Lineage: Bacteria; Bacillati; Actinomycetota; Actinomycetes. The record is from RNAcentral.
UGGGGAAUAUUGGACAAUGGGCGCAAGCCUGAUCCAGCCAUGCCGCGUGAGUGAUGAAGGCCCUAGGGUUGUAAAGCUCUUUCACCGGUGAAGAUAAUGACGGUAACCGGAGAAGAAGCCCCGGCUAACUUCGUGCCAGCAGCCGCGGUAAUACGAAGGGGGCUAGCGUUGUUCGGAUUUACUGGGCGUAAAGCGCACGUAGGCGGACUAUUAAGUCAGGGGUGAAAUCCCGGGGCUCAACCCCGGAACUGCCUUUGAUACUGGUAGUCUUGAGUUCGAGAGAGGUGAGUGGAAUUCCGAGUGUAGAGGUGAAAUUCGUAGAUAUUCGGAGGAACACCAGUGGCGAAGGCGGCUCACUGGCUCGAUACUGGCGCUGGGGUGCGAAAGCGUGGGGAGCAAACAGG